This 376-nucleotide ribosomal RNA is filed under the name uncultured bacterium. RNAcentral describes it as "bacterial SSU rRNA". It matches the Rfam family "Bacterial small subunit ribosomal RNA", at positions 523 to 898 of the family's 1533-position model. The record is from RNAcentral.
AUACGUAGGUGGCAAGCGUUGUCCGGAGUUACUGGGCGUAAAGAGUACGUAGGCGGGCACUUAAGUCAGAUGUGAAAUUCCCGGGCUUAACCUGGGGUCUGCAUUUGAUACUGGGUGCCUAGAGUGCAGGAGGGGAAAGCGGAAUUCCUAGUGUAGUGGUGAAAUACGUAGAGAUUAGGAAGAACACCAGUAGCGAAGGCGGCUUUCUGGACUGUAACUGACGCUGAGGUACGAAAGCGUGGGGAGCAAACAGGAUUAGAUACCCUGGUAGUCCACGCUGUAAACGAUGAAUACUAGGUGUCGGAGGUGUCAAGCUUUCGGUGCCGCAGUUAACGCAUUAAGUAUUCCGCCUGGGGAGUACGGUCGCAAGAUUAAA